UUUUGUUAGGUUUCCUCUUCUUUUGGUUGCUCCCUUCAGCGGAUCAUCUGCCUCACCCUAUCCCUAGCAUCCUCCUCUAUCACACCAACCUUCUGAAUGUCCACCUUCACCAUUUCCAUGAAUCUUGCCUGAGGUCUUCCUCCUUCUGCCUGGCAGCUCCAUCUUGAACAUCCUUUGUCAAAUCUAUCCACUAUCUCUCCUCAACACAUGUCCAAACCAUUUCAGCCUCUCUUUGUCUCCAAAAUUCUUCUCGUUGUCCUUGUUUUGAAUCCUGUCGUCCCCGGUCACUCCCAGUGGAAAUCUUAACAUCUUCAGCUCUGCCACCUCCAGCUUGGCCUCCUGUCUAUUGUCAGUCUUGCUGUCUUGACACCAUACAUCAUAGCAGAUACUACUUCAGUCUCGUAAACCAUCCCUUUCACUCCUGCUUAUAUCUUUAUGCCACAAAUUACCCCUGACACUUGUUCCCUCCCACUCCACAUGCUCAACUGUCUGUUGUUUUGGAUGGUUGACCCCAGGUAUUUAAACUUGCACAUCUUUACUACCUCUACUCCUUUCAUUUUCACUGUUACACACUGUCUCCCUCAUUCACAAAACUGUAUUCUGUUUUUUAUUUUACUGACUUUCACUCCUCUUCUCCUCAGAUCUCCACCCCUCCAGAUUCUACAGCCUCUCUUAUUUCCAAAGCUGAAUUUUGUUUUGUUACUAUAAUGACUACAAUGUUGAGGUAAAUGCCUGACUUUUCCGUUUUUGAAACUUGCCAGUAGUUUGCACCUUGUGGUCAAUCCCCUGUGCAUCUGCAAUAUGUUUUGAUCCACAAGGGAACGAGCAAACCUACUCCUGGAGAAGCUUCUUGACCUGCUGUGCUGUUAUAAAAGGGUUUUUUGUUUUUGUGCCUCUCAGUCUGCCAGUUUCUUUCUCACUUCCUACUUUUCUUUAGUACUUACUACAUUUUAAGCACUCUUUGGUGCAUGAAAUAAUGUUGAAACAAUACACAGCUGGAUAAAACAGCUGUUUGUAGUCAAGUACUUCAUGGUUAAAUCCUUGUGAUGCAAAACUUGUUUUAAGGCUACAGCUCACACAUAAUUUGUCAUGGUCCCUGUGCCUCCCCGGACAGCCCAGUGUGGCCACAAGUGUUUGUUGUUUUACUCUCUCUCUGCUCCCCUCACCUUGCUCUCUCUCUCUCUCCUACCUGUCUGCCUGGGCGGAGCUCUGAUUGGGCUCCCGCCCUUGGCCCACGCACCUGCAGCUGAUCUCCGGUGAUUUGCAGCUCUUCUUAAGACAGGGGCUCUGAGCUACUCGUCGCUGGAAUAUUGAGUAACUCUCGUUUACCUGGAUCAGCCCUUUUGUGACCCCUGGACCCCGUGAGUGUGAGUGGGCAGCUUGUGUGGAGAUUGUUUGGACAAGCAGCGGAGCAAGUGCGAAGAAGUGUGUUUCCCCAGCCUAUUGAUCCCCGGAACCCUGGAGUCCCCCCCCUUCACGUGUACAUUUCGCACCAGUGUGAUUAAUAAAGUAUUGUUGAACUGUG
Long non-coding RNA from Maylandia zebra (zebra mbuna), 1525 nucleotides. RefSeq lists it as uncharacterized. NCBI's taxonomy places the organism in Eukaryota, Metazoa, Chordata, Actinopteri, Cichliformes, Cichlidae. The record is from RefSeq and is a predicted model, not a curated record.